Molecule: ribosomal RNA, 255 nt
Filed under: uncultured bacterium
Lineage: Bacteria
Description: partial 16S ribosomal RNA
Rfam family: Bacterial small subunit ribosomal RNA
Source: RNAcentral
CUAGCCGUAAACGAUGUCCGCUAGUUGCUUGAGAGUAAUCUUAGGUGACGAAGGUAACCCAUUAAGCGGACCGCCUGGGAAGUACGAUCGCAAGAUUGAAACUCAAAGGAAUUGGCGGGGAGGCGCACAACCAGUGGAGCAUGUGGUUUAAUUCGAUACAAAGCGAAGAACCUUACCUGGGUUUGACAUCCAGCUUUUUCCUGCUUUGGAAACAGAGCAAGGGUCUGCCUUUGGCAGAAAAGGUUGGACAGCUAC